UGACUAAAGUUGUAUUUUCAAACUCACUUGAUUGUAGUCUUGACUGACCAACCAUUGAGAGCCCUAGAGUAACGACCUGAUACCUCAGGAAGAAUGGUGAAAUGUUUAAUCAAACUUAGCGAAUUCGAUAUUUCCUAUUACCACUAAUCUUUAAUGAAAGCUUAGAUAUUUGCCGACUUCAUUGCCGAAGGCAUCGUUCUUGAGGAUAGAGCAACUAUGGAUGGGUCCGACAAGCAAACCUCUAAACUUGCCAGGAU
RNAcentral lists this long non-coding RNA (257 nucleotides) under Elaeis guineensis (African oil palm). Its description in RNAcentral is "long non-coding RNA (EGUI_LNC035539)". The record is from RNAcentral. Lineage: Eukaryota; Viridiplantae; Streptophyta; Magnoliopsida; Arecales; Arecaceae.